This 433-nucleotide ribosomal RNA is filed under the name uncultured bacterium. RNAcentral's name for it is "partial 16S ribosomal RNA". It matches the Rfam family "Bacterial small subunit ribosomal RNA", at positions 29 to 507 of the family's 1533-position model. The record is from RNAcentral.
AGCGAACGCUGGCGGCAGGCUUAACACAUGCAAGUCGAGCGGGCCUUUCGGGGUCAGCGGCGGACGGGUGAGUAACGCGUGGGAACGUGCCCUCUGGUUCGGAAUAACUCAGGGAAACUUGAGCUAAUACCGGAUACGCCCUUUUGGGGAAAGGCUUGCUGCCGGAGGAUCGGCCCGCGUCUGAUUAGCUAGUUGGUGAGGUAACGGCUCACCAAGGCGACGAUCAGUAGCUGGUCUGAGAGGAUGCUCAGCCACACUGGGACUGAGACACGGCCCAGACUCCUACGGGAGGCAGCAGUGGGGAAUAUUGGACAAUGGGCGCAAGCCUGAUCCAGCCAUGCCGCGUGAGUGAUGAAGGCCUUAGGGUUGUAAAGCUCUUUUAUCCGGGACGAUAAUGACGGUACCGGAGGAAUAAGCCCCGGCUAACUUCGUG